UACGGAGGAUGCGAGCGUUAUCCGGAUUUAUUGGGUUUAAAGGGUGCGUAGGCGGAUCGUUAAGUCAGUGGUCAAAUUGAGGGGCUCAACCCCUUCCCGCCAUUGAAACUGGCGAUCUUGAGUGGAAGAGAAGUAUGCGGAAUGCGUGGUGUAGCGGUGAAAUGCAUAGUUAUCACGCAGAACCCCGAUUGCGAAGGCAGCAUGCCGGCUUCCGACUGACGCUGAAGCACGAAAGCGUGGGGAUCGAACAGG
Molecule: ribosomal RNA, 252 nt
Filed under: uncultured bacterium
Lineage: Bacteria
Description: partial 16S ribosomal RNA
Rfam family: Bacterial small subunit ribosomal RNA
Source: RNAcentral